AGAGUUUGAUCCUGGCUCAGAACGAACGCUGGCGGCGCGCCUAAUACACGCAAGUCGAGCGAGAAGACGUAGCAAUACGUUUGUAAAGCGGCGAACGGGUGAGGAAUACAUGGGUAACCUACCCUCGAGUGGGGAAUAACUGGCCGAAAGGUUAGCUAAUACCGCAUACGACUCUUGGUCUGCGGAUCAAGAGAGAAAGCGAUACCGUGGGUAUCGCGCUCCUGGAUGGGCUCAUGUCCUAUCAGCUUGUUGGUGAGGUAACGGCUCACCAAGGCUUCGACGGGUAGCUGGUCUGAGAGGACGAUCAGCCACACUGGCACUGCGACACGGGCCAGACUCCUACGGGAGGCAGCAGUAAGGAAUAUUGCGCAAUGGGCGACAGCCUGACGCAGCGACGCCGCGUGGGGGAUGAAGGUCUUCGGAUUGUAAACCCCUUUCGGCAGGGAAGAUGGAACGGGUAACCGUUCGGACGGUACCUGCAGAAGCAGCCACGGCUAACUUCGUGCCAGCAGCCGCGGUAAUACGAAGGUGGCAAGCGUUGUUCGGAUUUACUGGGCGUACAGGGAGCGUAGGCGGUUGGGUAAGCCCUUCGUGAAAUCUCCGGGCCUAACCCGGAAAGUGCGGAGGGGACUGCUCGGCUAGAGGAUGGGAGAGGAGCGCGGAAUUCCCGGUGUAGCGGUGAAAUGCGUAGAGAUCGGGAGGAAGGCC
RNAcentral lists this ribosomal RNA (708 nucleotides) under uncultured Nitrospira sp. Its description in RNAcentral is "bacterial SSU rRNA". It matches the Rfam family "Bacterial small subunit ribosomal RNA", at positions 8 to 710 of the family's 1533-position model. The record is from RNAcentral. Lineage: Bacteria; Pseudomonadati; Nitrospirota; Nitrospiria; Nitrospirales; Nitrospiraceae.